This 460-nucleotide ribosomal RNA is filed under the name uncultured bacterium. RNAcentral describes it as "partial 16S ribosomal RNA". It matches the Rfam family "Bacterial small subunit ribosomal RNA", at positions 338 to 795 of the family's 1533-position model. The record is from RNAcentral.
CCUACGGGAGACAGCAGUGAGGAAUAUUGGUCAAUGGACGAGAGUCUGAACCAGCCAAGUAGCGUGAAGGAUGACUGCCCUAUGGGUUGUAAACUUCUUUUAUAUGGGAAUAAAAUGUUCCACGUGUGGGAUUUUGUAUGUACCAUAUGAAUAAGGAUCGGCUAACUCCGUGCCAGCAGCCGCGGUAAUACGGAGGAUCCGAGCGUUAUCCGGAUUUAUUGGGUUUAAAGGGAGCGUAGGUGGAUUGUUAAGUCAGUUGUGAAAGUUUGCGGCUCAACCGUAAAAUUGCAGUUGAAACUGGCAGUCUUGAGUACAGUAGAGGUGGGCGGAAUUCGUGGUGUAGCGGUGAAAUGCUUAGAUAUCACGAAGAACUCCGAUUGCGAAGGCAGUUCACUGGACUGCAACUGACACUGAGACUCGAAAGUGUGGGUAUCAAACAGGAUUAGAUACCCGGGUAGUC